This is an RNA transcript of Ziziphus jujuba (common jujube), 2327 nucleotides long. RefSeq lists it as uncharacterized. The transcript is spliced from 6 exons. NCBI's taxonomy places the organism in Eukaryota, Viridiplantae, Streptophyta, Magnoliopsida, Rosales, Rhamnaceae. The record is from RefSeq and is a predicted model, not a curated record.
AUAAAUAAAACAAUAAAUAAAAUGGGGAAAGGAAUCUAUGGAUAGCUUUAGAGAGAGAAAAUCCAAGGAAAAAAAAAAAAAAAUUAGAGAGAAGGAAGGGUGGAGAGGCGGUUGCUCACCAUGAACACUUGUCUCUCGUCUCAGACUCCUUGAGCUUUGCUGUUUGCUCCCUACUUCAGUAACUAGAGAGAGAGAGAGAGAGAGAGUUCCUGGUGAGAGAAAGUGGCGUUCCAGAUGCUCUGCAAAUGGGGAAGACUGAACAGCAAAAUCUGCAACAACAGCAGAGCCAUGAGGCUGAGAAUCGAGGUUCUUGGGGACUCAUCUACGGGGAAUAUUCGAUGGUUCUCACAAGACUGGCAAAAGAGUUCAGUUUCAGAUGCGUCCUCGUUUUGUUUCUGAGCUUCUCUGUUUUACUUUCUGGGAUCUUCUGGAUCCUUCCUUACUAUGCAAUGGAGUCUGGGUUCGAUGCAAAAGAAGCAGUUAGGCUCAGUGCUCCGGUUCAAGCAUACUUUACCUUAGAAAAGCGAGUUUCUGAGCUAGUUCCACAUAUUGGAAGACUAGAGUAUGAUAUUAAUGCAGAAAUAGGAGUUCCAGAUACAAAGGUAGCUGUCUUAUCCAUGCACCGAUCAGGUGCUUCUAACUGUACUGCUGUUGUGUUCGGUGUUCUUUCUGAUCCUGUAAAUAUUCCAAUAAACCAAGUGUACUUAAGUUUGCUGAGGUCAUCUUUGAUCGAGGUGUUUUUGCAGCAAUCAAACCUUACUGUGACAACAUCUAUUUUUGGACAGCCAUCUAAAUUUGAGAUUCUUAAGUUUCAAGGGGGGAUCACUGUAAUUCCAAUGCAAGCUGCUUUAAUCUGGCAAAAACCCCAGAUUCUAUUUAAUUUUACCCUCAAUAAUUCUAUUGCUGACAUACUGGGAAAUUUUUCUGAAUUCAAGGAUCAGUUGAAGUCCGGAUUGCACCUAACUUCUUAUGAGAAUGUAUAUGUGCAAAUAACAAACAAAUUUGGUUCAACAACAGCUUCUCCAGUUAUAGUCCAGGCUUCAGUCUUGUCUGAUCUAGGAAGCCUUCUGCCACAGAGAUUGAAGCAGUUGGCUCAAACAAUUACAGGCUCUCCUAUAAAAAAUCUUGGCCUUGAUAACUCAGUCUUUGGUAAAGUUAAAAGUAUCAGUUUGUCUUCUUACCUUAAAGGUACACUUAGUGCAUCUCCUCCGAGUCCUUCUCCAGCACCUUCGCCAGAGCUAACAGGACCAUCAAUAUCUCCUUAUUCUGCUCCUUCAACAUAUCCCCCAGCACCCUCACCUGACACCCAUGAUAUCCCACCAUAUUUUAACAAUGAUGCUUCUCCAGCACCAUCUGUGGUAAAUGUGCAUCCUCCGCUGCCUUGUAUAUAUCGUGGUCUGAGAAUUGCUCCAACGACUUCACCAGCUUCCCCCCCUAACCCAACUGUUCCUCAGGCUUUAACACCUAGUGCUGACUCACCUCAUAUGGGUCCCAUAUCUCAAUUUCCCCCAGUUGUCUCACCUGUACAAGAAGUGUCCUCUGCUUUGAGUCCAGGCGAGAGGAAGGGAAAUGCUAAAGGAUUAGUGGCUCCAUUACUUGCGCCAUUCCCAUCAUGUUCAAAUUAAAGUUUGAGCUAAGUUAACUUUGUGAAAGACAUGAACUAUGCGCGACAAUGAGAAGAGUUCAUGGAGUUUUAAAAAGUAAGCUUUAGCAAUAGGUCCUUCCUUUAAGGAGAUCUGGUUAUUGGGAUUUUCAGGACUGGUCAUGUUUCAUCUCCUUUGUUGGUCAUAUUGAGACUUUAAUUGCAUCUCAAAUCGCUUAGGAAGCAACACAGCUCAACGAUAAUGACCCCCUACCCAGUUUUGUUUUGGUAAGGAGGAAGGGUGCCUUUUUUGUAAAGCUUGACUUUUUUCUUCUUUUUUUUUUUUUUUUUUUUUUUUUUUUUUUUUUUUGGGGUCCUCGAGACAAGCAACAAGUACAGUAAUCAAUUCAGGAGAUGAUAGCAGGUCAAGGCUGGAUGGUGACAGGCCUUCAUCUAGCUUCUAUAAUGGUGAAUGUCGCGAGAAUGCACAGGUACUCUUCCAAAGGGAAGACUCCUGGAUGGUGACCAAGUUUAAGCAAAUAUGAAACUGUAUAACUGAAAAAGAACCGGCUCUUGUGACAGAUGGAAAUGUAAAGUCUAUAGGUUUUAUUUGAACCUAUAAGCUGGGUAAAACCCUAAAAUGUUUUGUGGAAAAGGAAUACAUAAAGCGAAGAAGGUACAUGGUCAUAUGAGUAUAGCAUGUUGAAUUGUUGAGUAAUGGAUUUAUUCUCCAUCUUUUCCUUAA